UUUUUUUUUUUUUUUUUAACUGUUGGCUGUAUCUGUGGUAGAUAGAGCUAUGAGAAUGGUCAUAGGCCUAUUUUACCCAUCACUAUUUCCAUCACCAGCACAGUUCCCUGCUAAUGCACGUAAAAGCUGCAACAAAGAUUUUUUGACCAAAUUAAUGAAUCGGUAAGUGGAAAGCUCCCAAGAUUCAAUAUUCUAAUACUUAGUAUACAUUGAGCCCUAACUAUAUGCUUAGUGCUUGACAUGGAUUAUCUGAUCUAAUCAUGAGUGUCUAUAAGGCAUUUCUUGUUACUGUUUUAUAGAUGAAAAGCUGAAGCUUGAAGAGAUGAAAUUAGACUAAUACUGUAUCAUUAGUCAAUGGGAGAGCCAAGACUAGAACCCUUAGAUUACCCACACUAGACUCUAUAGUUCAGUUAGCCCAUUUGAACUGGUACAAGUCUAUGUACAUGGAGUUAUAAUGUAAAAGGGCUUGGAUUAGGUAACUAAUACCUAGUUAGUCAAAAUCAAGAACAACUGCUGGAGGUGGGAAUGAGGUAAGGAAUGAGAGGAGCAAUUUUCCUGUAUCCUUGUAAAACAGUCUAUUACUGAGUUCAGGAAAUACUUCCUGGGAAACUACUACUGUGUGCCCAACCUUAUGGAUGAUACAAAGAAAGACCCAUAUCCUGCCUGCCUGAUCAGAACUUUUAAUUCUUGUGUGAACACAAGUAAUUAUGUAAAACAGAAAGUGCUAACUGUAUUAGGGCUACAAAGUGUGGGGAAUAGCGUUGCCAGAUUGAGCAAAUAAAAAUGUGGACAUCCAGUUAGGACCUUGCUCUGUCGCUCAAGCUGGAGUGUGGUGGUGCAAUCACGGCUCACUGCAACCUUAACCUGGGCUCAAGCCAUCCUCCCACCUCAGCCUCCCAAGUAGCUGGGACCACAGGUGUAUGUGACCAUGCCUGGUUCAAUUUUAUAUUUUUUGUAGAGACGAGAUUUCGCUGUGUUGCCCAGGCUGGUCUUGAACUCCUGAGCUCAAGUAAUCUGCCUGCCUGAGAUUCCCAAAUUGCUGGGAUUAUAGGCAUGAGCCACCAUGCCUGGCCCAUCCAGUUAAAUUGGAAAGACAUACACCAAAAAUCAUUUGUUGUUUAUCUGAAAUUCAACUUUAGGUGUCUUGUAUUUAUCUGGCAACUCUAGAAGUGUUAAAAUUCCAGCUACAACAUUACAUUUAGAGAGUGUGAAAAGCGUAUUAAAGGGUUGAAAUAACAAGUAGUGGGUGUAUUUAGGAGAAUGCUAGGAAAUAAAGGUCAGAAAAGUAAGUGAAGGUCGGGCGAGGUGGCUGACACCUGUAAUCCCAACACUUUGGGGGGCUGAGGCAGGCAGAUCGCCUGAGGUCAGGAGUUUGAGACCA
This 1381-nucleotide long non-coding RNA is filed under the name Macaca fascicularis (crab-eating macaque). RNAcentral describes it as "lncRNA (ENSMFAG00000050011.1)". Lineage: Eukaryota; Metazoa; Chordata; Mammalia; Primates; Cercopithecidae. The record is from RNAcentral.